This 97-nucleotide non-coding RNA is filed under the name Elphidium margaritaceum. Lineage: Eukaryota; Foraminifera; Rotaliida; Elphidiidae. The record is from RNAcentral.
ACAGCAACACCAGCAGCAGCAGCAGUAUGACCACGACGGGCAUGUCAUUAGUUUGUCGCCACUCCAGAUCGUUGAAGACACACCAUCGAAGCAUCAA